Molecule: long non-coding RNA, 637 nt
Organism: Mercenaria mercenaria
Lineage: Eukaryota; Metazoa; Mollusca; Bivalvia; Venerida; Veneridae
Exons: 4
Source: RefSeq, a predicted model, not a curated record
AGAGAAGUUUCCGUCUCAUUUAGAAACCAUAAGACAUGCUGAUAAAUUUACAGACCAUUUGAAGUAAAUUGGCUGAGCAGUAUAUUUGUCAUAUUUUGGUAUAUUUCAGGAGACUUUCGGUGGCUAUAACCCUACACUUAAAAACAACAACAGUGUCGAAGACUUCCGAUGGUUUCACCCGUGUAUUUCCCGUAAAGAGGCCACUCUAUUGUUCGAUGAUCAACCGGAAAGACAGUAUCUUGUUAGGCGAAGUGAAUCAUUUCCCGGGGACUAUGUGCUGUCAUAUGCAAGUGACGGAUUGAAACAUAUCAGGAUUUCUAUGGAAAGAGGGAAGUAUUACGUUAUUGGAGAGACGCCUAGAUUUGAUAGUCUCCAACAAAUAGUAGCUCAGAAAUGUAAUGAUUUCAGUCCAAUAUACAGAGACGACGAUAUCCAUAAUCUACCAUGGUUUCACGGAGUAAUGUCCCAUGCAGAAGCCUAUCAUCUGUUAAAUGGCCAACCUGAAGGAAGGUUUCUUCUUAGGCAAAGUGAGAACUAUCUCGAUAGAUAUGUGUUAUCGUUUGUAUGUACCGGAUUGAAACAUAUCAGAUUUUUUAUAAAAGAUGGGAAAUAUUAUACUGAUGACGUUACUAGUUUU